This 463-nucleotide ribosomal RNA is filed under the name uncultured bacterium. RNAcentral describes it as "partial 16S ribosomal RNA". It matches the Rfam family "Bacterial small subunit ribosomal RNA", at positions 28 to 507 of the family's 1533-position model. The record is from RNAcentral.
GACGAACGCUGGCGGCGUGCUUAACACAUGCAAGUCGAACGGAAAGGCCUUUUCGGAGGUACUCGAGUGGCGAACGGGUGAGUAACACGUGGGUGAUCUGCCCUGCACUCUGGGAUAAGCCUGGGAAACUGGGUCUAAUACCGGAUAGGACCGCACUUUAGUGUGUGUGGUGGAAAGUUUUUUCGGUGUAGGAUGAGCCCGCGGCCUAUCAGCUUGUUGGUGGGGUAAUGGCCUACCAAGGCGGCGACGGGUAGCCGGACUGAGAGGUUGGUCGGCCACAUUGGGAGUGAGAUACGGCCCAGACUCCUACGGGAGGCAGCAGUGGGGAAUAUUGCACAAUGGGCGCAAGCCUGAUGCAGCGACGCCGCGUGGGGGAUGACGGCCUUCGGGUUGUAAACUCCUUUCGCCAGGGACGAAGCGUUUUGUGACGGUACCUGGAGAAGAAGCACCGGCUAACUACGUG